RNAcentral lists this ribosomal RNA (492 nucleotides) under uncultured bacterium. RNAcentral describes it as "partial 16S ribosomal RNA". It matches the Rfam family "Bacterial small subunit ribosomal RNA", at positions 29 to 507 of the family's 1533-position model. The record is from RNAcentral.
AGUGAACGCUGGCGGUAGGCCUAACACAUGCAAGUCGAACGGCAGCACAGUAAGAGCUUGCUCUUACGGGUGGCGAGUGGCGGACGGGUGAGGAAUACAUCGGAAUCUACUUUUUCGUGGGGGAUAACGUAGGGAAACUUACGCUAAUACCGCAUACGACCUACGGGUGAAAGCAGGGGAUCUUCGGACCUUGCGCGAUUGAAUGAGCCGAUGUCGGAUUAGCUAGUUGGCGGGGUAAAGGCCCACCAAGGCGACGAUCCGUAGCUGGUCUGAGAGGAUGAUCAGCCACACUGGAACUGAGACACGGUCCAGACUCCUACGAGAGGCAGCAGUGGGGAAUAUUAGACAAUGGGCGCAAGCCUGAUCCAGCCAUACCGCGUGGGUGAAGAAGGCCUUCGGGUUGUAAAGCCCUUUUGUUGGGAAAGAAAAGCAGCAGGUUAAUACCCCGCUGUUCUGACGGUACCCAAAGAAUAAGCACCGGCUAACUUCGUG